RNAcentral lists this ribosomal RNA (425 nucleotides) under Galathea punctata. Its description in RNAcentral is "partial 16S ribosomal RNA". The stretch from base 293 to 425 matches the Rfam family "Bacterial large subunit ribosomal RNA", at positions 2473 to 2606 of the family's 2925-position model. Lineage: Eukaryota; Metazoa; Arthropoda; Malacostraca; Decapoda; Galatheidae. The record is from RNAcentral.
UUUAGAUUGAACGGGUCUCUGAUGGGUUGGACAAAGGAUAAGCUGUCUCUGUUUUUUAUUUUGAAUUUAUCUUUUAAGUGAAAAGACUUAAAUUAAUUUAAGGGACGAUAAGACCCUAUAAAUCUUUAUAUUAAUGUAUAUUUAUUUAAAUUUUUAAUGUAAAUGAAAAAUAAAAAUAUCUAAUAUUAUAUUGGGGUGAUAAGAAUGAUAAUUAAACUGUUCUAAAAAAAACAAAGUUAUUUGGUGUAAUAAUAGAUCCUUUUUUAAGAUUAAAAGUUUAAGUUACUUUAGGGAUAACAGCGUUAUUUUUUUUGAGAGUUCUAAUCGAAAAAAAAGUUUGCGACCUCGAUGUUGAAUUAAAAUUUCUUCAUAGUGCAGCCGUUAUGAAAGAAAGUCUGUUCGACUUUUAAAAUUUUACGUGAUCU